AACACUAGCUCGUGCAAAACAAACAGGUCUUCCACAAGAAAGUGUAGGAAGACCGGUGACGCAGCAAAAUUGUAUGUAUGUAUGCUCAGAAUGCCCUUUGCAGUGUAGCUUGAAAUAAAGAUUAUUUUCCUCGGUUAUGCUAUGCUGCGAUUAGCUAAUGGGUUUGCACAGAAAUCAUGUCUCUCCGUUUGCCCAGGAGGGAAAAAAUCAACCGUACUAGAGCCAACCACCCUCCGCCCUGCAUUGUCCUCACAGCCAUGUUUAUCUGAUAGGUCGGGGAUGUUGGCAAAGUCAUCCUGCUCAGCCAGCCCGAUCGCCAGAGACAGAACCACCAUCUUCCCUUCGCUGUCCCAUAAAGAACAAGACCAGGAGAGAGAAGCACACAGAAGGGGCAGAGUAAGAGAGGUAAGGAGGGAGCCGCAGGAUAGGAUGAAAGGAAAGA
Molecule: long non-coding RNA, 442 nt
Organism: Brienomyrus brachyistius
Lineage: Eukaryota; Metazoa; Chordata; Actinopteri; Osteoglossiformes; Mormyridae
Exons: 3
Source: RefSeq, a predicted model, not a curated record